This 518-nucleotide ribosomal RNA is filed under the name uncultured bacterium. Its description in RNAcentral is "bacterial SSU rRNA". It matches the Rfam family "Bacterial small subunit ribosomal RNA", at positions 28 to 532 of the family's 1533-position model. The record is from RNAcentral.
GACGAACGCUGGCGGUGUGCUUAACACAUGCAAGUGGUGCGACGAACCAGGCUUCGGCCUGGGGCAAAGCCGCGAACGGGUGAGUAACACGUGGGUAAUCUGCCCCGAUGACCGGGACAACCCGAGGAAACUCGGGCUAAUACCGGAUGUGGUGCCCAGACAUAAGUCUGGUCACUAAAGGUAGCUUCGGCUUCCGCAUUGGGAGGGGCCCGCGGCCCAUUAGCUUGUUGGUGGGGUCAAGGCCUACCAAGGCAACGAUGGGUAGCUGGUCUGAGAGGACGAUCAGCCACACUGGGACUGAGACACGGCCCAGACUCCUACGGGAGGCAGCAGUGGGGAAUCUUGCGCAAUGCGCGAAAGCGUGACGCAGCAACACCGCGUGAGGGAAGACGGCCUUAGGGUUGUAAACCUCUUUCAGAUGGGACGAAGGUUGUCCGGUUAAUAGCCGAGAUAAUUGACGGUACCGUCAGAAGAAGCUCCGGCUAACUACGUGCCAGCAGCCGCGGUAAAGUACAGUG